RNAcentral lists this long non-coding RNA (1392 nucleotides) under Chinchilla lanigera (long-tailed chinchilla). RNAcentral describes it as "lncRNA (ENSCLAG00000028875.1)". The record is from RNAcentral. Lineage: Eukaryota; Metazoa; Chordata; Mammalia; Rodentia; Chinchillidae.
GGGAACGUCGGCGCGUGCGCGCAAGGAAACGGCGGGAAAGGCCGCGCGUGCGCGCGAGGAGCGUUGCGGGCCCCACGCAGACGCGCGGAGGUAGGGAACUUUGCUAGGCUGCUGGGUCGAGGCGUCUGCACGUUCAGUCUCACCCGAGUGACUGACCGGCUGAAGAGCGGGCGGCGGCUCCGGGCCGGGCCAGGGGGAGUUGGCCCGGGGAGCCCAGAAGCGCGCACUCCGGAGGCCGGCGCUCUCGGCCCCCGAGGGUAGUGGAGUCCCCGCCCGGCGCCUGGCGGGGCCGGCCUCGGCGUCGCCCACUGGUGUCCCUUGCUGGCCGGGAACCCGUGCCGGCCGUGUCCCUGCCUGCUGGGGACGGAAGCCGUUUCCUGCCCCCCUGAGGACCCUGGGCAUCAGCUCUCUCCGCUUCUCGGAGGUUCUAGUUCCAGGGAAGGAGGAAAGAACUCACUUAAACCAGUUCUUCCUCAAGAUAAGCUAUACGGAGAAAGCAAGUUGUCACCAGCAGAAGAAACUAUGACCUUUAUUAACAAAGGUGAAUUAGCUUAACCAAGGGGGUAUUUAUAGUUUAUGUUUCACUCUCAAACUUUGUAUCUAGGUACCCACUGACCAGGCCACAAUUCCUGCCUUCCCUGUAUGCACUGUCCUUACACUAGCAGGAACUGAGCAGGAAACAGGCUGAAGUUAAGAUUUUUGCGGGGAGCGGGGGAUGCAGGUCUUUGGGGUCUAGAGAUGUCCUUAUCCCUAAAAGAAAAGGCAGAGGACUCAGAAGGAUCAGUCUUGUCACUCUCCACAGCGCAAGAGUCCCACUAAUUUGGGGCCGAGAUUAAUUCAGACCUCUCUAGGUGGUCUCUCGGGAAACAUGCCAGUUGCAAAUCCUACCACUAAGUGCUUCUGGGUAGCUUCUGUCCUUCCACCCUAUUUUUCCAAUCAGCUUUGUUCUAGCCUCGUAGGUUGUAUCCUUUAAUUUCUACCUUCUUAGGUUAGUUUUCUGUAACAGAACAACUGAACUGGGAUGAAGUCCUUUUUUUUUUUUUCUUUUUUUUGGCUUUUCUCCGGUACCGGGAACCGAACUCAUGACCUUGCGCUUGCCAGGCAGGCGCUUUUGCCGCUGAGCUAAAUCCCCAGCCCCUGGGAUGAAGUCCUUAAAUUACUCCUGAUGGUAAUUGUUUUGUCUUUGUAAUAGCUUAACAAAUAAAUCUAGGUUUUCUAUAUUAAAAAAAAAAUAAGUUGAUUGGGGUAAUAGUUGUGUAAGUCUGCGAAUAUACCAAAAUCCAUUGAAUUAUACAACUGAAAAACUGAAAUAGACAAGUUGUAUGGAAUUAAAUCUCUAAAAUUAUUACAGAACAUCAGAGAGCACAUGGCUGGGGAGCUAUACACAUUCAC